Long non-coding RNA from Metopolophium dirhodum (rose-grain aphid), 521 nucleotides. RefSeq lists it as uncharacterized. The record is from RefSeq and is a predicted model, not a curated record. Lineage: Eukaryota; Metazoa; Arthropoda; Insecta; Hemiptera; Aphididae. The transcript has 3 exons.
GUUUACAUAUAACUCCGCGAAUAACUUAUCAAACAUGUCAACGGUCGAAACAAAUUCAAGCUGCUUUGGACCAGUAUAAUAAUAAAUUGAUUUUAAAAACUUCAUUCAUUGCAUUAGUUGCAUGCAAAUACAAAAAACGUAUUAUUCCACCUUAAAUUAACUGCGAAACAUAAAAUGAUAUCAAAAUGCAACAUAGCCCAAAUGCAUUUCGACUAAAAUAAGUGCGAUUCGACCGUACCCAUUCUGGAAUAACCAGACCAAAAAACUAAACCAGAUCAAUUAGCAACUAGGCAACAACUUUCAGAUGGGAUAAUCCUAAUCAAUUAAAAGUACGAAACCACUUUAAGUCGUUUAAGAAUCGGAGACACCAGGCUAACUCAUGGAUAUCCCAUAUAAAAAGACAAACCUCCCAGCUACGAAGCUUGUGGCUCACUUGCUAACAUAUCCUGACGGAAUGCCAUCUAUAAGAACGGGAGCGAAUGGAGCUCAACUUGACCAAAACUAGCGACGCAACCCUCGGA